Molecule: long non-coding RNA, 495 nt
Organism: Anastrepha ludens (Mexican fruit fly)
Lineage: Eukaryota; Metazoa; Arthropoda; Insecta; Diptera; Tephritidae
Exons: 4
Source: RefSeq, a predicted model, not a curated record
AACGGGUGAAUUUGUUUAUGAAAAAAGCAAUAUAGGUGGUGAAUCCCCAAAAGCUGAUAUUUCAAACUGUGGAGAAGAAACAGAAAUUGCAAAGGCUCAAGAUUGGCUAAAAAUUUUUACGGAACCCUGGAAUGACGUGCAGGAAAAUUGGCGAAAGUGUUUUAAAAAACGAAGACAAGAAAUUCUAAGCACAAACGAUUCAAAUCGAUUUUAGUUAUUUGCAUCCACAUUCCACAUCCAUCGUCGAUAAAUGGAAGACCUUUAAUCUCAAAAUAAUCCCACUGCUAAAAACAAAGUUAACGGAUCCGGCGCACUUGCAACAAUUGGAAACAAUAAAAUCACAAGAAAAAGGUUCAGAACAGAUCAUUGCACUACUGCUUCAUGUUUUGCUGCGUCCAACAAUAAAACGAAAAGCAAAUACCGCAAAAAAGAUUUACCGGUCUACUAUCAAAGAUUCGGAGAUGUCGUUUAUUCUUCAUGUUGUUACGGCAAAUG